Taeniopygia guttata (zebra finch) is the source of this 3144-nucleotide long non-coding RNA. Lineage: Eukaryota; Metazoa; Chordata; Aves; Passeriformes; Estrildidae. The record is from Ensembl.
UUUAGACCAGCAGAAGAACACAGCUUUAUUUUAUUCAGGGAGAACAUUAAGAUAAAUCUUCCAAAUCACCCCCCUCUAAAUAUAAGCUGGGUCUUCUGACAUAAAUCAGCCAAUUUAGCUGCUGCUAAAGGCUUUGUAGUGUAGGCAAGUGCUCCAAGUGGAGCUGGCUGAAGUGCUGGUGGUUUGACUCGGCUGCUGCACAUCAGGUUGAUAAGGUCACUGCUCCCUUCGUGCAGCUUUUCUGCAGGUUCAUGCAGAUCCCCAGGGGAGAGAUGCUCUGCAGUGAACCUUUCUGCAUUUGCUGUUCUCACAUCCUGGGUGUCUUCUGGCAGCACUCAUCAUUUGCAUCAUUGCUCAAUUCAAGGCUCUCGUGUUCUCAAGUCUCUUUACAGGCAGGGUGGGAUGUGGCUGGUGGAGCUUGGGGUUGUCUGGGCUUGAGUGGAGUGAAUCAUCCUCACAGAGUAAUCUCCCUCUGCCACUGAUGCUGAACUGCUGCAAGCUGUUCCUACUCAGCAAAGCAUAUAAGCCAAUUUCUGGCUCCAUUUCCAUUCAGCAGAACAUUUAACUGUGAAUUUAAUACUAAACUCAUGCUCAAAUCCCUUCACUUAUUAAUGGGUUUAGGUGAAUGUCCACUCUGCAUCACUGAAUGAGGCAGGGAUUAAUUGCAAAGAGAGAGGAGCUCUGCAGAGCUGGGUUCAGGCAGAAACUGGUGCACUCCCAUCUAAGGCUUCUCUCCCCACCAGCUGUGCAUCCAACACAGGGUAAAUCCCAGGGUAAAGUGUUGAUCCUUUAAUCUUGCUCAUCAAGGGAUAUUUUUAUGGCGUUGGAUCUGCCUGGUGAAAGAGCCUGUGAGGUGGCUCAGGACCUUGGUGAGCCUCUCAGCUCUGCUGGAGUGGGAAGGGUGAUGGCAGCUGGGUGUGGCACUCAGAGGCCAUCCCUCUGCACACCUGGCUCUUCUCAUCUCCAGCUUCAGACAGCAGAGGUGGAGGAUGCACACACAGCACAGUGGGCUGACAUGACAGCUUUCCCAUAGCAGAUGUCACACAAGCUCAGGAAGGGUUGAAGUUGAAAUAUUCACUUGCUGCAGUGUGUUUGCAGAGGGGAGGAGGUGACAACUCCCUUUACACACUGCACGAGUGCAGACUGGGCAGGGCACAUGCUGCUCUCUGUGAGGGGGAUCUUCAUUUCUGUAAAGGACAUUCCCCUCUCACUGUUUACUCAUUGUAGAAAAUGGUGAAUUGAAGAUGCUUUUAGAAACAUGUUGUCUUCACAAAGUCCUAUAAUUUAGACAUUUCUCUUCCUCUGUUGCAGGAGAUGACAUAACACUUAUGAAAGCCCUGGCACAUGUUGUCCAGAUGUUGUGGAUGCCUCAUCCCUGGAACUGUUCAAGGACAAUUUGACUGGGGCUCUGAGCAACCUGGUCCUGUGGAAGAUGUCCCUGCCCACGGCAGGGGGCCUGCAACUGGAUGAUUUUUAAGGUUCUUUCCAAGCCAAACCAUUCUAUGAUUCUUUAAUUCCAUGGCUGAUGCUGUCAGUCCCUGAGUGCUGACAAAGACCACAGCUCUGUGGGCACAGAUCAAGCUCUCAGUCUUUGUACCCCACUUUUUCCAUCUUUAUAAUGGGAAUAAUAAUAGUUGUUAACCUCACAGCAGUGUGGUAUUGGCUGUGUUUAAACAGAAGGUCUGAGCACUCUUGGUGGAACGCCAUUUAAUUGCUCCUAGAUUUAAAUUUGGGUUUUCCAAUGUUCCCAUUCUAUCCAUUAGCCUGGACACCCUCUGACAUGCAGGGGCAGUAGGGGACUGAUCUGUGACUUUCAGGUAGCAAGGGACAAGGUGAAAGGGGAUGGCCUCAAGUUGCACCAUUGGAUAUGAGGAAAAAAUCCUUUACUGUGGAAGGGUGGCCAGACAUUGGAACAGACUGUGCAGGGAAAUGGUGGAAUCACUAUCCCUGGAAGUGUUAAAACAUGUGGUGCUUAGGGAUUUAGUAGUGGACUUGGCAGCACUGGGUUGAUGGUUGGACUUGAUGAUUUCCAAGGUCUUUUUCAACCUUAAUGAUUCUCUGAUUCCAAGGGUGCAAAUCAGAAGCCUUUCCUUAAACUCAGUGGAGUUGUGCCACUGCCAGGCUGUGGUAAGGAGAGGAUGUUUAUUGCAGACUGUUUUGAUUUGUAGAGUGAAAACACAGAGCUUAGUCAUCAAAAACAGGGGUUAGUCAUCAAAAACAGUUUACCUUCCUCUCAAAAUAUGAAAAGGCUUAAAAGUUUGGUGAGGUUUACAGGGCAUUAAACAAACACUGCUAUUACAAUUGCCGGUGUUAAUUCUCAUCAGGUAGCCUUCCUUCCCCAUUCUAGGGGAGACUCAGAGCUCCUUGUCAGCUGCCAAAUGCUGUGACCCUGGUGCCCAUAAAAGGUUUCUGCUGUAACUGUCUUGUUAUCAGCCCAUCAAUGUCCUGACACUUCCUAGUGAUUAAUCCUGUGUUGAAAUGAAAUUAAGUUUCCAUAUAUUUGGCCAGUGACCCCAGGACUUCCUAUUUGGGGAAUACAAAGAAUAAAGCAUCUGUAGCCUACAGGAAGCCAGAGUCUCCGAUUUCCUGCAGAGGCAGAACAAGAACAAACAGGGAACACAUUUUUCACCGCGGCAGCCGAAAGCGCACGUAAGAGCCCUGCUGGCCCCCAUGAUGAAAACAAUUGGAAGGGGGAACAUCCCUGGUCCCGAAAUUAUUUGUGGGUGUUUUGUUACGUACACAAUAUGCCAUUAUAAAAUAGAUGCAACUCAAGUUAAUGUUUUUUCCAGGUGACUAUUAAGGUUUCCUUUAGCACAGGUCUUUAGGUUUCCAUCAGUGAGAUUGUGUUUGUCAGGCAAGUGAGUUUUACUUUGCCUUUUGCUGCACUAGGCUCUCUAAAUCCAUUUGAGAUUAGGAAAAUGCAGGGAUAUUUUUUUUACGGCUUUGUUUAAAUGAGCCAGGCCAGAUUCAAGCUGAUGUAAAUGCCAGUGAAAGGGGCAGGAGGAGGUGAUAAGGCAGCAAAUCCUCCUUGCAGCCUAACUCUGACUUGUGAUGAAAGGUAUGUGGGGAAAUAGAGGCACCAGCCUGCCUGCUGAGGAUCCCUGAGGGAGAGCCAUUGCUGCCUCUACAAUCCAAUUCAGCUGC